This 325-nucleotide ribosomal RNA is filed under the name uncultured eukaryote. RNAcentral describes it as "partial 18S ribosomal RNA". It matches the Rfam family "Eukaryotic small subunit ribosomal RNA", at positions 1470 to 1796 of the family's 1831-position model. The record is from RNAcentral.
CCCUUAGAUGUCCUGGGCUGCACGCGCGCUACACUGAUGUAUUCAACAAGUGUUACCUUGACCGAGAGGCCUAGGAAAUCUUUUAAAAGUGCAUCGUGAUAGGAAUAGAUUAUUGCAAUUUUUAAUCUUGAACGAGGAAUUCCUAGUAAACGCAGAUCAUCAAUCUGCAUUGAUUACGUCCCUGCCCUUUGUACACACCGCCCGUCGCACCUACCGAUUGAAUGGUCCGGUGAAGCCUCGGGAUUGUAGCAAUCUACCUUUAUUGGUGGUUUGUUGCAGGAACUUGUCUAAACCUUAUCAUUUAGAGGAAGGUGAAGUCGUAACA